GACGAACGCUGGCGGCGUGCUUAACACAUGCAAGUCGAACGGAAAGGCCCUGCUUGUGGGGGAUGCUCGAGUAGCGAACGGGUGAGUAACACGUAAGUAACCUUCCCUUGAGGUUUGGAUAACUGCAGGAAACUGGGGCUAAUACCGUAUAGGAGCUCCGCCUGCAUGGGGGGGGUUGGAAAUUUUUGGCGGUUGGGGGUGGACUCGCGGCUUAUCAGCUUGUUGGUGGGGUAGUGGCUUACCAAGGCUUUGACGGGUAGCCGGCCUGAGGGGGUGACCGGCCAAAUUGGGACUGGGAUACGGCCCAGACUCCUACGGGAGGCAGAAGUGGGGAAAUUUCAACAAUGGGCGGAAGCCUGAUCAAGCAACGCCGGGUGGGGGAUGACGGCCUUGGGGUUGUAAACGGCUUUCGCCUGUGACGAAGCGUGAGUGACGGUAAUGGGUAAAGAAGCACCGGCUAACUACGUG
RNAcentral lists this ribosomal RNA (468 nucleotides) under uncultured bacterium. Its description in RNAcentral is "partial 16S ribosomal RNA". It matches the Rfam family "Bacterial small subunit ribosomal RNA", at positions 28 to 507 of the family's 1533-position model. The record is from RNAcentral.